UUGAUUUUUUUUAUGUGUGCAAACUAAAACUAAAACAAAAACAAACCCUAAAGUAAAAGUGAACACUUACUACAUAAUAUUGUGCUGCAAGGGUCACUGGGUUUGAAAACAAAACAGGAGAACAGAAUUAUCUUGGCGGUCACAACCAACACAGCGAAAAAACGUCGUUUCCGUUUGCCACCCACUUGGACCGCCAGCUGCAACAAAAUAGCAAAGAAGACAGAGUGAGUUCGUCUGCCACGCUCGCCGCACCGAAGGAGCACCCCGUGAAGGCCUGGAUUAUCUUGCCGUUGCUAGUGGCCAGUGCGAAAACAUAGUGAAGGCCAACGUGUUCGCAAAGACGAAGCGGUGCGUUAUAUAAACGUUAAAAUCGAUUGUCCUCGAAAUAAGACCCCCUACGAUCGGUAGAAAAGGCGUUAGCUCUUUGCUGCCGCAAGAAAGCGCAUGGAGGAACAACAUAAAUUGAGGCAAAGGGUUAACCGUCCGGAUCGGUGCAAUCGGAUAAGCUAAGCAGGCAAAAGUAGCGCCAAAAAAGGCAAAAGCAGCGAACUCGGGUGGGGCAACAGCACCGAACGUAAGAAGCAAGGCUUCGCAUAGCCAAGUGAGCGAAUCAAGGCAGGAAACGCAGGCAGCGAAGCGGAUAAUCCGGAAAGAAAAGGCUUGAGUCUGAGGGCGCUGUUCACGCUCCAAGGUGUCCAAAUUUCACCGGAAGAAUCGAACGGAGUCGAAAUUCCGACCAAGAGAGCCUCCACUAGGAGGCUCUUGUUUCUGGUUUUGGCUUCGUUUGAGUCAACGUGCGGUCGAAAGUGCUCCAAGGCACGGUCGUAGGAGCGAUCUAAGGUGUGGACUAGUCGGCAGGCCGCCUCCCCCUCCCCAACCAGUACUUCCGGAAGCAAGAACCGGUGGUAGUGAUCCGCGGGUUCGCGAAGCAGCGCUUGGCCGUGUAAAAGGGAAGAUUUGGUUUGAAGAGAGCGGUGCUCGUGAGUAGCCCCGUGAUGGGAAAAAAGGGGGGAAUGGUGUGAAAGAAAAAAAAGAAGGAAGGAAGCGUAGACGGUUAGCAGGCAUGAAGGGUAGAAGUUAAGAGAUGGGGAAAAAGUAAACAACCCUGUUAAAGGAGUAGAUCAAACGAGGAAAAUAAAAUGUUUGCACACAGCUUUU
Armigeres subalbatus is the source of this 1158-nucleotide long non-coding RNA. RefSeq lists it as uncharacterized. NCBI's taxonomy places the organism in Eukaryota, Metazoa, Arthropoda, Insecta, Diptera, Culicidae. The record is from RefSeq and is a predicted model, not a curated record. The transcript is spliced from 4 exons.